AGUGAACGCUGGCGGUAGGCCUAACACAUGCAAGUCGAACGGCAGCACAGUAAGAGCUUGCUCUUACGGGUGGCGAGUGGCGGACGGGUGAGGAAUACAUCGGAAUCUACUUUUUCGUGGGGGAUAACGUAGGGAAACUUACGCUAAUACCGCAUACGACCUACGGGCGAAAUCAGUGGAUCUUCGGACCUUGCGCGACUGAAUGAGCCGAUGUCGGAUUAGCUAGUUGGCGGGGUAAAGGCCCACCAAGGCGACGAUCCGUAGCUGGUCUGAGAGGAUGAUCAGCCACACUGGAACUGAGACACGGUCCAGACUCCUACGGGAGGCAGCAGUGGGGAAUAUUGGACAAUGGGCGCAAGCCUGAUCCAGCCAUACCGCGUGGGUGAAGAAGGCCUUCGGGUUGUAAAGCCCUUUUGUUGGGAAAGAAAAGCAGCAGGUUAAUACCCCGCUGUUCUGACGGUACCCAAAGAAUAAGCACCGGCUAACUUCGUG
RNAcentral lists this ribosomal RNA (492 nucleotides) under uncultured bacterium. RNAcentral describes it as "partial 16S ribosomal RNA". It matches the Rfam family "Bacterial small subunit ribosomal RNA", at positions 29 to 507 of the family's 1533-position model. The record is from RNAcentral.